UGUCACAGGAGAAGGUCCUGAUCCAGACCCCAAGAGAGGCUUCUUGGAUCCUGUGCAAGAAAGAAUUCAGGUGACUGAGAAUGCCUGACCAUCUGGGAAUGCAGCCCACUAGGUCUCAGCCUCAUUGUUCCCAGCUCCUGUUCAAGAUGGUGUCGCUCAGGUUCACACACCUCUGACACAGCCUCUGCCUCCUGCUUCAGCCUCCUAAGCAGCUGGGACUACAGCCUUCCUCGACCCUGCCACCCCGAGGUUCCCGUGCACACGUAAUAUUGCGGGAUAGGUAUUGUGGAAUGAGGAUCAGUGUUACAACCUACAGAAGAUGUGGUCGUGAAGUCAGGAGUCACAGUCUCAGAGUUGACUGCACUGCCUUGUAGCUGUGUGACCUUCGGGAUUUUGUUCAACCCCCUCUGAGCUUCGGUUUGCUCUCUGGGAAGACUCCAAGGAUAAGAGCAUCUACCUCCUCAGCCUGCUGUGAGAGUUACGGGGCCUGGGCCAAAGACGCUUUGUCCGACUGCUGGUCCGCAGGGAGCUCUAAAUAUGAAUCUGCUACAUCACCUUCACUUCUGAAAUCUGCUCUGAUGUUCCAAAUGUUCUUGGCCGUUCCUCCGUGUUUCUCCUGUAUGAAUUUCAGCUUCUUUUUGCCAAGUAUCUCCCCACCCCCGCCCACCCCCACCCCCAAAUAAACUCACUAGAAUGUUGGUUGAAAAUCUGAUAAGCCUACACAUUGAUUUGGAAAGAAAUGAUUUUUUGUAAGAGUCAAACUCCCUACCCAUUUUUUUUCUUUUUUUGCAAAAGUUUUUUCUUACAUUUGUCAUUCAGGUUUGUCAUUUUCUUGCUACAGACUCCAAACACUUUUCAAGAGGACCAUCGCUAAGUACUUUAUACUCUUGUUCGGGUUUUUUUAGAGUAAAAAGUGUUCAAAUUCUACCUUAUCUUCUAGCUGGUGGUGGUUGGAAAAUAAUUUUAAAAACGGAUUUAAAAUAUGUAUUUUGCAUCUGGCCGCGUUCCUGAAUUCUCUCAUUCUUUCUGAAAACUCUUCCGCCGACUCUCUGGGGGCUCCUAGGAAUGUGCUGUUUUGGCUCCUCCUUUCCAGAAGUUAUACGUCUCAUUUCCGCCUCACAUCGCUGGCAUUGUCCUUCGUUUCCAGACCAGGGUCGAACAGUAAUGGUAAAAGCAGGCAUCCUUCUUGGGUUCCUGUCUUGGACUGGAACGCCUUCGUGUUCCAACAGCAAGGGGAGAUAAAGGAAGUGCUUAUUUAUAGUUUUCUAUAGUUUCUUGAGCUUUCGUGUUGUUUUGCUUUCAGAGACAAGAAUUGACUUUCAGCAAAUGCCUUUCCCCCUAUAGUUAACAAUCAGGAACUAUUUAAACUAUGCCAGGAGGUGUAAAUAAAGUUAGGAAGAGCCCCCAUCUACCCAGCCCCCACUUAGCUUAAGAAAAACAACAUGGCCGGGCACAGUGGCUCAAGCCUGUAAUCCCAGCACUUUGGGAGGCUUGAGUCCAGGAGUUUGAUACUAGC
This is a non-coding RNA of Macaca mulatta (Rhesus monkey), 1516 nucleotides long. Lineage: Eukaryota; Metazoa; Chordata; Mammalia; Primates; Cercopithecidae. The record is from RefSeq and is a predicted model, not a curated record.